CAACCCGUCUCUGUUGCAAAAGAGUGGGAAGAUUUUUAAGUAGGGGUGACAAGCCUAUCGAACUUAGAGAUAGCUGGUUGUUCAGGAAAAGAGUCUAAGCUCUACCUUAAGUUUUUUUAUUAAUUCAAACAAACCUUUUGACUUAAGAGCUAUUCAAGUAAGGCACAACUUACUUGAAACAGGAUACAACCUCCUUUAUUGGGUAACCAAAAAUAAACUAAACAAAGUGGGCCUAAAAGCAGCCAUCUCAUAAAAAGCGUUAAAGCUUAACUUCCUCACAUAUUUAAUUCCUUUAAUUUUGAUUAACCCCUCACCACUACUGAACCAUUUUAUAAUUCUAUAAAAAUUAUUAUGCUAGAACUAGUAACAAGAAAUUGCCUUUCUCCUAAAUGUAAGCUUACACCACAGCGGACUAUCCACUGGUAUUUAACGCAACUGUCUUUAUUAUAGCAACACUCAACCAGAAAACCCUAUAAUCACCAACGUUAACCUCACACUAGAACAUUUUAGGAAAGAUUAAAAGAAAGAGAAGGAACUCGGCAAACCUUAGCCCCGCCUGUUUACCAAAAACAUCGCCUCUUGCCUAAUAUAAGAGGUCCAGCCUGCCCAGUGACAUAGUUCAACGGCCGCGGUACCCUAACCGUGCGAAGGUAGCAUAAUCACUUGUUCCUUAAAUAGGGACUAGUAUCAACGGCAUCACGAGGGCUGCACUGUCUCCUCUUUCCAAUCAGUGAAACUGAUCUCCCCGUGAAGAAGCGGGGAUUUUUUUAUAAGACGAGAAGACCCCAUGGAGCUUAAAACUUAACACGCACCUCUAUUUUACCACACCAAUUAACCAUAAAAGUCUGUGUGCCAGUUUUAGGUUGGGGGGACCGCGGAGUAAAACUUAACCUCCACGACAAACGGGCCAACGCCCUUAUCCAUGAAACACAAUUCUAAGAAUCAAAAAUCUGAUGUUUUAUGACCCGAUUAGUCGAUCAACGAACCAAGUUACCCUGGGGAUAACAGCGCAAUCUA
This 1017-nucleotide ribosomal RNA is filed under the name Glandirana susurra. RNAcentral describes it as "partial 16S ribosomal RNA". It matches the Rfam family "Bacterial large subunit ribosomal RNA", at positions 776 to 2489 of the family's 2925-position model. The record is from RNAcentral. Lineage: Eukaryota; Metazoa; Chordata; Amphibia; Anura; Ranidae.